This 253-nucleotide ribosomal RNA is filed under the name uncultured bacterium. RNAcentral describes it as "partial 16S ribosomal RNA". It matches the Rfam family "Bacterial small subunit ribosomal RNA", at positions 524 to 776 of the family's 1533-position model. The record is from RNAcentral.
UACAGAGGUCUCAAGCGUUGUCCGGAUUCAUUGGGCGUAAAGGGUGCGUAGGCGGCGCGGUAAGUCGGGUGUGAAAUCUCGGAGCUUAACUCCGAAACUGCAUUCGAUACUGCCGUGCUUGAGGACUGGAGAGGAGACUGGAAUUUACGGUGUAGCGGUGAAAUGCGUAGAUAUCGUAAGGAAGACCAGUGGCGAAGGCGGGUCUCUGGACAGUUCCUGACGCUGAGGCACGAAGGUCAGGGGAGCAAACGGG